AUAAAGUUUUAUUUUAGCUUAAAAAUUUAUUAUUAAUAUAAUUUACAUGCAAAUUUUUGAAAGAAUUUAUAUUUAUUUAAAUAAUAAAUAUAAAAUUAAUAUUCGCAGUAAAUAAUAUUAUUAAUUAAAGAAAUUUAGAAAUAGUAAUAUUAAAUAGUAUUGACUAAAUUUGUGCCAGCAAUCGCGGUUAUACAAAUAAUUUAAAUAAAUAUUUUUAUUAUUAGUUAAUUAUUUUUUAUAAAAAAAAAAUAAAAUUAUAAAAUAUAGGUGAAAUUUUAUUUUAUAAAUUUUUUUUCAAAAAAUUAUUUUAAGCUAAAAAAAUUUUUUAUAAAACUAGAAUUAGAUACUCUAUUAUUUAAAAAGUUAAAUAGGUUAUUAAAGUAGUAUUAGAUUUUUUUUUCUUAAAACUUAAAAAAUUUGGCGGUAUUUUAGUCUUUUCAGAGGAACUUGUUUAAUAAAUGAUACUCCACAAUUUACCUAACUUGAAUUUGUUAAAUUUGUAUAUCGUUGUCAUAAGAAUAUUUUAUUAGAAUAAAAAAUUUCUUAAUUUUUAUUAAAAAUAAUGUCAAAUCAAGGUGCAGUUUAUAUUUAAGUUUAAAAUGAGUUACAAUAAAAUAUAUUUUAUGGAAAAUUUUAUUAUAGAAUAAUUAGAAAUUGGAUUUGAAAGUAAAUUUAAUUAAAGAAAAAUUAAUUGAUUUUAGCUCUAAAAUAUGCACAUAUCGCCCGUCGCUCUCAUUAUUUAUUUUUAAAAAUUGAGAUAAGUCGUAACAUAGUAGAUGUACUGGAAAGUGUAUCUAGAAAAAC
RNAcentral lists this non-coding RNA (804 nucleotides) under Limnophyes minimus. The record is from RNAcentral. Lineage: Eukaryota; Metazoa; Arthropoda; Insecta; Diptera; Chironomidae.